AGAGUUUGAUCCUGGCUCAGGAUGAACGCUAGCGGCAGGCCUAAUACAUGCAAGUCGGACGGGAUUGGAGAGCUUGCUUUCCAUGAGAGUGGCGCACGGGUGCGUAACACGUAUGUAACCUACCUUUGUCAGGGGGAUAGCCUCUCGAAAGAGAGAUUAAGCCCGCAUAAAAUCACAGACUGGCAUCAGUUAAUGAUCAAAUAUUUAUAGGACAAAGAUGGGCAUGCGGAACAUUAGCUAGUUGGCGAGGUAACGGCUCACCAAGGCUACGAUGUUUAGGGGAUCUGAGAGGAUGACCCCCCACACUGGUACUGAGACACGGACCAGACUCCUACGGGAGGCAGCAGUAAGGAAUAUUGGUCAAUGGGCGCAAGCCUGAACCAGCCAUGCCGCGUGCAGGAAGACGGCCCUACGGGUUGUAAACUGCUUUUAUACGGGAAUAAACCUACUUACGUGUAAGUAGCUGAAUGUACUGUAAGAAUAAGGAUCGGCUAACUCCGUGCCAGCAGCCGCGGUAAUACGGAGGAUCCAAGCGUUAUCCGGAUUUAUUGGGUUUAAAGGGUGCGUAGGCGGCCUAUUAAGUCAGGGGUGAAAGACGGUAGCUUAACUAUCGCAGUGCCCUUGAUACUGAUGGGCUUGAAUGUACUUGAGGUAGGCGGAAUGUGACAAAGCGGUGAAAUGCAUAGAUAUGUCACAGAACACCAAUUGCGAAGGCAGCUUACUAAAGUAUGAUUGACGCUGAGGCACGAAAGCGUGGGGAUCAAACAGGAUUAGAUACCCUAGUAGUCC
This 789-nucleotide ribosomal RNA is filed under the name uncultured bacterium. Its description in RNAcentral is "bacterial SSU rRNA". It matches the Rfam family "Bacterial small subunit ribosomal RNA", at positions 8 to 796 of the family's 1533-position model. The record is from RNAcentral.